Molecule: long non-coding RNA, 816 nt
Organism: Nyctereutes procyonoides (raccoon dog)
Lineage: Eukaryota; Metazoa; Chordata; Mammalia; Carnivora; Canidae
Exons: 3
Source: RefSeq, a predicted model, not a curated record
UGGACCCUGCUCUCUGCAGGACAAGAUUGUGGGGUGUGCCAGAGCCCUUUAACGAGUGGCACACAGCCUCUCUGGGGGACUCAAGAAAGGGGGCUGGGAAAGGCUGUGGCCCACGUAGGAAGAAGGCACAUCUGAGUGGCUUCUGCAGCACAAAACCACCUGCUUACAUGUUUUCCUGUUCACCAAGAGGCUCUCUGGAAAUCAAAACGGGUCCACUUCCAGCUUUGGAUUGUGCCCCUGUUACUUAUAGCUUGUUGGUUUCACUAAAUGCUUAAAUGAGAAUAUAAUCACAAUACUUCCAAACUGAUUGUGUAACUGCUCUGAAGCUUGACGACGUACCCCCCAGCACUCACCAUAAUACAAGUGGCAUAUAUCUGGUAGGUUACCCAUUAAACGAGUGUGACAGAUCGUAUUUCUGGUUAAUUGUUAGUUCCUUAUGACCUUAGACUUUGCCUGUGUAUUUAGUAACACCAUCUGCUGUCUAGGGUAGCAAUACUACCUUUUUACGUGAGGAUUACUGUUCUUACUUCGUAAACAACAGUACUCAAUCAGAGGUGUUGAAACUCUACCAUAGAAUUAUUUAAAUUAUACUACCUAUGGAAAGCUUGAAGAGAGAGAAACUGAUUUUCUUCCCUGUGCUGGCUUUAUUGGCUUCACCUAAAAAUAUCAUAAUUUAUAUGCCAUAAUAAAAGCAUAAAAAUGAUUUCCAGGUUGUAUUCUUGGUCUGCAAGACGAAAUGUUUUAAAAGACCUCUGACUGUUAUGUCUGUCUUGUUUAGUUUCUCCCAGGCUAGUUUCUCAUAGCGAAUCAAUCUCU